Molecule: ribosomal RNA, 1248 nt
Filed under: uncultured bacterium
Lineage: Bacteria
Description: bacterial SSU rRNA
Rfam family: Bacterial small subunit ribosomal RNA
Source: RNAcentral
AGUGGCGAACGGGUGAGUAACGCGUGAGGAACCUGCCUCAAAGAGGGGGACAACAGUUGGAAACGACUGCUAAUACCGCAUAAGCCCACGGGUCGGCAUCGACCAGAGGGAAAAGGAGCAAUCCGCUUUGAGAUGGCCUCGCGUCCGAUUAGCUAGUUGGUGAGGUAAUGGCCCACCAAGGCGACGAUCGGUAGCCGGACUGAGAGGUUGAACGGCCACAUUGGGACUGAGACACGGCCCAGACUCCUACGGGAGGCAGCAGUGGGGAAUAUUGCACAAUGGGGGGAACCCUGAUGCAGCGAUGCCGCGUGGAGGAAGAAGGUUUUCGGAUUGUAAACUCCUGUUGAAGAGGACGAUAAUGACGGUACUCUUUUAGAAAGCUCCGGCUAACUACGUGCCAGCAGCCGCGGUAAUACGUAGGGAGCGAGCGUUGUCCGGAAUUACUGGGUGUAAAGGGAGCGUAGGCGGGAUGGCAAGUCAGAUGUGAAAACUAUGGGCUCAACCCAUAGACUGCAUUUGAAACUGUUGUUCUUGAGUGAGGUAGAGGUAAGCGGAAUUCCUGGUGUAGCGGUGAAAUGCGUAGAGAUGGGGAGGAACACCAGUGGCGAAGGCGGCCUGCUGGGCUUUAACUGACGCUGAGGCACGAAAGCGUGGGUAGCAAACAGGAUUAGAUACCCUGGUAGUCCACGCUGUAAACGAUGAUUACUAGGUGUGGGGGGUCUGACCCCUUCCGUGCUGGAGUUAACACAAUAAGUAAUCCACCUGGGGAGUGCGGCCGCAAGGUUGAAACUCAAAGGAAUUGACGGGGGCCCGCACAAGCAGUGGAGUAUGUGGUUUAAUUCGAAGCAACGCGAAGAACCUUACCAGGUCUUGACAUCCUACUAACGAGAUAGAGAUAUGUUAGGUGCCCUUCGGGGAAAGUAGAGACAGGUGGUGCAUGGUUGUCGUCAGCUCGUGUCGUGAGAUGUUGGGUUAAGUCCCGCAACGAGCGCAACCCUUGAUAUUAGUUGCUACGCAAGAGCACUCUAAUAGGACUGCCGUUGACAAAACGGAGGAAGGUGGGGACGACGUCAAAUCAUCAUGCCCCUUAUGACCUGGGCUACACACGUACUACAAUGGACAUUAACAGAGGGAAGCAAUACAGUGAUGUGGAGCAAACCCCUAAAAAUGUUCUCAGUUCAGAUUGCAGGCUGCAACCCGCCUGUAUGAAGAUGGAAUUGCUAGUAAUCGCAGAUCAGCAUGCUGCGG